RNAcentral lists this ribosomal RNA (914 nucleotides) under uncultured archaeon. Its description in RNAcentral is "bacterial SSU rRNA". It matches the Rfam family "Archaeal small subunit ribosomal RNA", at positions 1 to 922 of the family's 1478-position model. The record is from RNAcentral.
UUCCGGUUGAUCCUGCCGGACCUGACUGCUAUCGGAUUGAUACUAAGCCAUGCGAGUCAUUGUAGCAAUACAAGGCAGACGGCUCAGUAACGCGUAGUCAACCUACCCUAUGGACGGGAAUAACCUCGGGAAACUGAGUAUAAUGCCCGAUAGAACACUAUACCUGGAAUGGUUUGUGUUUCAAAUGAUUUAUUGCCAUAGGAUGGGACUGCGGCCUAUCAGUUUGUUGGUGAGGUAAUGGCCCACCAAGACUAUUACAGGUACGGGCUCUGAGAGGAGUGGCCCGGAGAUGGGUACUGAGACACGGACCCAGGCCCUAUGGGGCGCAGCAGGCGAGAAAACUUUGCAAUGUGCGAAAGCACGACAAGGUUAAUCCGAGUGGUUUCUGCUAAAGGAACCUUUUGACAGUCCUAGAAACACUGUUGAAUAAGGGGUGGGCAAGUUCUGGUGUCAGCCGCCGCGGUAAAACCAGCACCUCAAGUGGUCAGGAUGAUUAUUGGGCCUAAAGCAUCCGUAGCCGGCUCAGUAAGUUUUCGGUUAAAUCUGUACGCUCAACGUACAGGCUGCCGGGAAUACUGCAGAGCUAGGGAGUGGGAGAGGUAGACGGUACUCGGGAGGAAGUGGUAAAAUGCUUUGAUCUUUCGAUGACCACCUGUGGCGAAGGCGGUCUACCAGAACACGUCCGACGGUGAGGGAUGAAAGCUGGGGGAGCAAACCGGAUUAGAUACCCGGGUAGUCCCAGCUGUAAACUAUGCAAACUCAGUGAUGCAUUGGCUUGUGGCCAAUGCAGUGUUGCAGGGAAGCCGUUAAGUUUGCCGCCUGGGAAGUACGUACGCAAGUAUGAAACUUAAAGGAAUUGGCGGGGGAGCACCACAAGGGGUGAAGCCUGCGGUUCAAUUGGACUCAACGCCGGG